Pygocentrus nattereri (red-bellied piranha) is the source of this 157-nucleotide small nuclear RNA. RefSeq annotates it as U1 spliceosomal RNA. The transcript has a single exon. The record is from RefSeq and is a predicted model, not a curated record. Lineage: Eukaryota; Metazoa; Chordata; Actinopteri; Characiformes; Serrasalmidae.
UGACUUACCUGGCAGGGGAGAUGCCGUGAUCAUGAAGGUGGUUCACCCAAGGCUCUGUCAUUGCACUUCGGUGGUGCUGACCCUUGUGAAUUCCCCAAAUGCGGAAAUCUUGACUGUAUAAUUUCUGGUGGUGAGGACUGCAUUCACUCUCUCCCCU